AAAAGCGGUUAAAUACUAAUAUACCCGUACAAAAUCUACUAAACUACAACCAAACCUAAGCUAAACCCUCUAACAUAAUCCAAGCGUUUUCUUUUUCCCCUUUAGAGUCCAACACAUACCAUGUUCUCCUUCUUUCUUCACUUUCCCCUUUCUCUUUAAAUCUCUAAUCGACGAUCCUUUCUCUUCCUUGUUCGAAAUCAAGUCCGACGAAUCACAUCUCUCUUACUGUUGGGAUGUCUCACCGUCGACAGAAGGCUUCAAUUUCGUGUCUCUUCCUUGUUGAAAAUCUUUUGUUUCCAUCUUCUUCAGUCUCGAAAAAUCCGGAUUGGAUGGGAAUCUGUAGUAAAAAUGGGAUUAGACACACAAGAACUGUUCUUCUACAAAAAUUUUCUGUAUUGAAACCCUCUCGUUCUGAUCGUAAGUCUUUGUCUUAUCAGUAAGUCAGAACCCUUAACAUGUCUUGUUUCCUCUAAUAUAUAUUCUAUUACGUUUAGACAAUUAUGGUUUGGUUAUGUGGUGUUAACUUGUGGGUGUUUUCUCGGACCGGAGUCUAUUAUGCAGCAAUAUUUUAUCUAAGACCAGAUCAUCUUAGUCACAAAGAGAUAUGGAAGGUGGAUGAUGACGAUAAUGUUGACUAGCAUGACUGCGUAUAUGUAUCUAUACUCGCAUGGAGAUGUAUCCUUGGCUGCAUCUCAACCAGUGUAGUAGAUGCAUCUUCUCUUAUUUUAGAGAGCUUUUUGAUUCAUUUUUGUUCAUAGAAUUUGAUAUGUUAUUAAAAAUGUUUUCAGAUUGUUUUGUAUCUCUCUCGCUACUACUUGCUAUGGACUUUUUGGCGCAUUCUCCUCUCUAUAUGUUUUGAAUGUAGUUUAUGAACAACAACAAAGUUUUUGUGUAGGUUCUUAUGUCGUAUGGUCCAUCAACAGGUAGUUAUUGUUGCAUGAACAAAAGGAAGAUGGAUUUAGGAGAAUUAACAUAAUUCUCAUAAGACUAGGAAUCUCCAAUAUGAGUAUAAAUAUAAGGCAUCCUCGAAGACGUUAAGCAUCCGAUUAAAAAGGGAGAAGAGCAAUAAGAGAUCGACAGAGACCAAGACAAUUAGCAAUUAGAAAGAGUGUUUUAUUGCUUUGUCUUGUGAUAUUUAUAGUUUGUUCUUGAGAAACCUACUGGUAGUGAAUAAAGGGAAGGAUAAGUUUUGGUAUCAAAUUUAUUCAACUUUCUAUA
Long non-coding RNA from Brassica oleracea var. oleracea, 1218 nucleotides. RefSeq lists it as uncharacterized. NCBI's taxonomy places the organism in Eukaryota, Viridiplantae, Streptophyta, Magnoliopsida, Brassicales, Brassicaceae. The transcript has 4 exons. The record is from RefSeq and is a predicted model, not a curated record.